RNAcentral lists this ribosomal RNA (937 nucleotides) under uncultured bacterium. Its description in RNAcentral is "bacterial SSU rRNA". It matches the Rfam family "Bacterial small subunit ribosomal RNA", at positions 193 to 1094 of the family's 1533-position model. The record is from RNAcentral.
CCAACGGGAGAAAGGGGGCUUCGGCUCCCGCUAUCGGAUGAGCCUAUGUCGGAUUAGCUAGUUGGUGAGGUAAAGGCUCACCAAGGCAACGAUCCGUAGCUGGUCUGAGAGGAUGAUCAGCCACAUCGGGACUGAGACACGGCCCGAACUCCUACGGGAGGCAGCAGUGGGGAAUAUUGGACAAUGGGGGCAACCCUGAUCCAGCCAUGCCGCGUGUGUGAAGAAGGCCCUCGGGUUGUAAAGCACUUUCAGCGAGGAAGAACGCCUAGCGGUUAAUACCCGCUAGGAAAGACAUCACUCGCAGAAGAAGCACCGGCUAACUCCGUGCCAGCAGCCGCGGUAAUACGGAGGGUGCAAGCGUUAAUCGGAAUUACUGGGCGUAAAGCGCGCGUAGGUGGCUUGAUAAGCCGGUUGUGAAAGCCCCGGGCUCAACCUGGGAACGGCAUCCGGAACUGUCAAGCUAGAGUGCAGGAGAGGAAGGUAGGAAUUCCCCGGGUGUAGCGGUGAAAAUGCCGUAGAAGAUCGGGGAGGGAAUACCAGGUGGCCGAAGGCGGGCCUUUCUGGGACUGACACCUGACACUGAAGGUGCGAAAAGCGUGGGGUAGCAAAACAGGGAUUAGAUACCCCUGGUAGUCCACGCCCGUAAACGAUGUCGACCAGCCCGUUGGGUGCCUAGCGCACUUUGUGGCGAAGUUAACGCGAUAAGUCGACCGCCUGGGGGAGUACGGCCGCAAGGUUAAAACUCAAAUGAAUUGACGGGGGCCCGCACAAGCGGUGGAGCAUGUGGUUUAAUUCGAUGCAACGCGAAGAACCUUACCUACUCUUGACAUCCUGCGAAUUCGGUAGAGAUACCUUAGUGCCUUCGGGAACGCAGAGACAGGUGCUGCAUGGCUGUCGUCAGCUCGUGUUGUGAAAUGUUGGGUUAAGUCCCGUAACG